UAUACUCGAAAUCUGAAGUCUUAGCGCAAAGUAACUCUAGACCCUAAGACCACAAUGUCAGGAUCUUUAACAGAUAUUCAUGGAAAAGGAAAAAGAAGCGCGUCCAGGCAAUAAUGACAAGAAAGUAAAGAAGAGCAGAGUAUUUGAGAGGUAAGGAAAGGCCAGAAAGGGAAAGAGGCCGAUAGAAUUCAAGAAAUGAGGAAUGACAAAAAGAUGAAAGGGAGUUAUGAAGGCAUCUGUACGCGAACAGACGCGGUCAUAAUGGUUCUCGAUAUUCGCCCCCUCGGCAGUCAAAACAAUAACUACCGAGAAGGCGAAGGGGCAAUUGAUGACCGCUAGAUCCCUUCAUCCCGGCCCAGGGCCUCGACCACAACCUAAAGCCCACAAAGUAAAGGCCCAU
This 400-nucleotide long non-coding RNA is filed under the name Manihot esculenta (cassava). RNAcentral describes it as "long non-coding RNA (MESC_LNC010341)". Lineage: Eukaryota; Viridiplantae; Streptophyta; Magnoliopsida; Malpighiales; Euphorbiaceae. The record is from RNAcentral.